UGAGGAAUAUUGGUCAAUGGGCGCAAGCCUGAACCAGCCAUGCCGCGUGCAGGAAGAAGGUCCUAUGGAUUGUAAACUGCUUUUAUUUGGGAAUAAACCUAUUUACGUGUANAUAGCUGAAGGUACCAAAUGAAUAAGCACCGGCUAACUCCGUGCCAGCAGCCGCGGUAAUACAAU
Molecule: ribosomal RNA, 177 nt
Filed under: uncultured bacterium
Lineage: Bacteria
Description: partial 16S rRNA
Rfam family: Bacterial small subunit ribosomal RNA
Source: RNAcentral